CUUAAGUGUAGCACGUGAUCUCUGCCCUCCCGGGCUCCCCAGGACAGGCCUCAUGAAGGCACGAAAUGACUGCGUACCUACAACGUACCCCAUACUGCCCUGGACCAUAGAGGUACACGGUGAUGAAAACUCAAAGAGAAUCCAAUUAACUUGACAAGAUUGUGCAGCAAGGACAAGGAAGACUAGAAACUAUCUCCAGCCAAUCCCAAGAACCAGACUCUUCUCAUCAUUCACAAGACAUUUUAACAAAAAACAAAACAAAGCAAGGCUCUUCCAUCACAGGUCAGAAGCAUGGGGCUUCCCUCCUUCCCAUCACCACUGCCUCCUUACACACAGGGAAUUCCAUGAGAAGCACCUCGACAAGGCAGACAAGAAAGUGCACAGAAAGAUAUGAGUGCUGUUGCACCAGAGACCUGGCAGCUUCUGAAAGUAGAACAGCGACUUGGAAUGUAAAGAAAUUUACACUAAUGGCUUCUUCCCAAGGAGACUAACAUAAGUGGCAAAGCUGAAACUUAAACUCCCAUCUCCUGGUUUGUGACUUUCAUGCAAGAAGGCCACUGAAGGGGCAUCUGGGUG
Long non-coding RNA from Neogale vison (American mink), 576 nucleotides. RefSeq lists it as uncharacterized. Lineage: Eukaryota; Metazoa; Chordata; Mammalia; Carnivora; Mustelidae. The record is from RefSeq and is a predicted model, not a curated record. The transcript is spliced from 3 exons.